UGUGUGUGUGUGUGUAUGUAUGUGUGUAUAUAUGUAUGUAUAUAUACACACAAACAUACACACACACACACA
This 72-nucleotide microRNA precursor is filed under the name Marmota monax (woodchuck). The record is from RNAcentral. Lineage: Eukaryota; Metazoa; Chordata; Mammalia; Rodentia; Sciuridae.